AACGAACGCUGGCGGCAUGCCUAACACAUGCAAGUCGAACGAGACCUUCGGGUCUAGUGGCGCACGGGCGCGUAACGCGUGGGAACCUGCCCUUAGGUUCGGAAUAACUCCCCGAAAGGGGUGCUAAUACCGGAUAAUGUCUUCGGACCAAAGAUUUAUCGCCUUUGGAUGGGCCCGCGUUGGAUUAGCUAGUUGGUAGGGUAAAAGCCUACCAAGGCGACGAUCCAUAGCUGGUCUGAGAGGAUGAUCAGCCACACUGGGACUGAGACACGGCCCAGACCCCUACGGGAGGCAGCAGUGGGGAAUAUUGGACAAUGGGCGAAAGCCUGAUCCAGCAAUGCCGCGUGAGUGAUGAAGGCCUUAGGGUUGUAAAGCUCUUUUACCCGGGAUGAUAAUGACAGUACCGGGAGAAUAAGCUCCGGCUAACUCCGUG
RNAcentral lists this ribosomal RNA (433 nucleotides) under uncultured bacterium. RNAcentral describes it as "partial 16S ribosomal RNA". It matches the Rfam family "Bacterial small subunit ribosomal RNA", at positions 29 to 507 of the family's 1533-position model. The record is from RNAcentral.